This 533-nucleotide ribosomal RNA is filed under the name uncultured bacterium. Its description in RNAcentral is "bacterial SSU rRNA". It matches the Rfam family "Bacterial small subunit ribosomal RNA", at positions 777 to 1308 of the family's 1533-position model. The record is from RNAcentral.
AAUAGAUACCCUGUAGUCCACGCCGUAAACGAUGUCGACUUGGAGGUUGUUCCCUUGAGGAGUGGCUUCCGGAGCUAACGCGUUAAGUCGACCGCCUGGGGAGUACGGCCGCAAGGUUAAAACUCAAAUGAAUUGACGGGGGCCCGCACAAGCGGUGGAGCAUGUGGUUUAAUUCGAUGCAACGCGAAGAACCUUACCUACUCUUGACAUCCAGAGAACUUAGCAGAGAUGCUUUGGUGCCUUCGGGAACUCUGAGACAGGUGCUGCAUGGCUGUCGUCAGCUCGUGUUGUGAAAUGUUGGGUUAAGUCCCGCAACGAGCGCAACCCUUAUCCUUUGUUGCCAGCGGUUCGGCCGGGAACUCAAAGGAGACUGCCAGUGAUAAACUAGGAGGAAGGUGGGGAUGACGUCAAGUCAUCAUGGCCCUUACGAGUAGGGCUACACACGUGCUACAAUGGCGUAUACGAAAGAGAAGCGACCUCGCGAGAGCAAGCGGACCUCAAUAAAGUACGUCGUAGUCCGGAUUGGAGUCUGC